This 509-nucleotide ribosomal RNA is filed under the name uncultured bacterium. RNAcentral describes it as "partial 16S ribosomal RNA". It matches the Rfam family "Bacterial small subunit ribosomal RNA", at positions 28 to 507 of the family's 1533-position model. The record is from RNAcentral.
GACGAACGCUGGCGGCGUGCUUAACACAUGCAAGUCGAACGAAGAGCGAUGGAAGCUUGCUUCUAUCAAUCUUAGUGGCGAACGGGUGAGUAACGCGUAAUCAACCUGCCCUUCAGAGGGGGACAACAGUUGGAAACGACUGCUAAUACCGCAUACGAUCCAAUCUCGGCAUCGGGACUGGAUGAAAGGUGGCCUCUAUUUAUAAGCUAUCACUGAAGGAGGGGAUUGCGUCUGAUUAGCUAGUUGGAGGGGAACGGCCCACCAAGGCGAUGAUCAGUAGCCGGUCUGAGAGGAUGAACGGCCACAUUGGGACUGAGACACGGCCCAGACUCCUACGGGAGGCAGCAGUGGGGAAUCUUCCGCAAUGGACGAAAGUCUGACGGAGCAACGCCGCGUGAGUGAUGACGGCCUUCGGGUUGUAAAGCUCUGUUAAUCGGGACGAAUGGUUCUUGUGCGAAUAGGGCGAGGAUUUGACGGUACCGGAAUAGAAAGCCACGGCUAACUACGUG